CCCGGCCCGACGGACGCAGACGCGAACCCAGCGCGACUUUCAGGUGGAAGAAACCGCAGCGGAAGAAGUACGGUCUGCUGAGCAGCUCCGAUGAACGCGUGGAGAUGGCAUCGCUGGAUAGCGAUGAGGACACCGUGUUUGAGACGCAGAACCUGAGGCGAUGAUUUGGGACCAGUGGCGCAACUGUGCAGACCGAGGGAGGGGUGCAAAGUCAUCCGCUGGAAUCGCCGAUGCUCCUGUUUUAGUUUUGAUAAUAAUUGCUUAUAAUGACUGCGAAUUAACAGCACAAACUCUUUGAUCGCUGGGGAGGGCAAAGGGGACCAAAACUGUUUCCUUCACACUUCUUUUUUGGGAGCUGCAAAGGACUCUGCGCUGAGUGCUGCAUGGGGUGAUGCUCAGGAAGAUGUGACCGAAGUGACUCUAGGGUGAACGCUCUGCAUUUGGCACUGAGAGCUGCACGUCUGUGCCCACCGCCUGCUUGGGGCUUUUGGGUGCUCCUCUGACUGUGGGAGCAGUCCAGAGCUUGGCAGGCUCGGUUUUCCCUUCCACGAUGUCUGAUCUCUUCCCUGGAUUGCUGUGUGCCAUCGGCUGCACCCCGUGGUGGAGUUGGGGCAGCAGCAUUGCCUGAGAUCAGACAGAGGAGUUUUGGGAGGGAGCAGCGAGCUGAAGGCGUUCUGGGAGCAGCAGGGUUGGCAGCGAGUGGAUGAUGGCAUAAAUCCCUGCGUGGGUUUACAAAACAAAGAGGUGUUUGCAAACAAAA
Molecule: non-coding RNA, 760 nt
Organism: Meleagris gallopavo (turkey)
Lineage: Eukaryota; Metazoa; Chordata; Aves; Galliformes; Phasianidae
Source: RefSeq, a predicted model, not a curated record